This 324-nucleotide ribosomal RNA is filed under the name uncultured Bacteroidota bacterium. RNAcentral describes it as "bacterial SSU rRNA". It matches the Rfam family "Bacterial small subunit ribosomal RNA", at positions 28 to 351 of the family's 1533-position model. Lineage: Bacteria; Pseudomonadati; Bacteroidota. The record is from RNAcentral.
GAUGAACGCUAGCGGUAGGCUUAACACAUGCAAGUCGAACGGGAUUCGGGUAGCAAUAUCUGAUGAGAGUGGCGCACGGGUGAGUAACGCGUAUGCAACCUACCUGUAACUGGAAAAUAGCCCCCGGAAACGGGGAUUAAUGUUCCAUAAUGUUUAGAGAUCGCAUGAUUUUUAGACUAAAGUUCCGGCGGUUACAGAUGGGCAUGCGUGACAUUAGCUAGUUGGUGAGGUAACAGCUCACCAAGGCUACGAUGUCUAGGGGGUCUUAAAGGAUGAUCCCCCACACUGGUACUGAGACACGGACCAGACUCCUACGGGAGGCAG